ACCUUUGCAAUUGCUGCGCAGAACCCUUAUAUUGGAGAUGCUGGAAACAGCUAUGGCGAUAAAUGGUUAUCGGAAUAAACCCAUCGGACCCGGGGGCAGUACCCGGCGCCUCCACCAAUCUCCCGACAGUCGGGAUCUGCGGGGGCGAAAUAGGAUCGACGAGGGCGUAAAGGGUAUUCUUUCGCUCGGCAUUGUACCGCCGUUAUCGGGCUAUUCAAAUAGUUGCAAAUGACAACUACGCUGAGGAACUCGCGGUUGCGUAAUGCGCCUCGACAACUCAAAUUGAAGUCCUGACGCCCUAGCAGGCCUCAGGCGGGGUUCGCAGGCACCUGGCAACAGAAGCCUGCACU
This 350-nucleotide transfer-messenger RNA is filed under the name Hyphomicrobiaceae bacterium. It matches the Rfam family "Alphaproteobacteria transfer-messenger RNA". From Rfam's summary of the family: Bacterial tmRNA, also known as 10Sa RNA or SsrA, is named for its dual tRNA and mRNA-like properties. Its role is to liberate the mRNA from a stalled ribosome. Lineage: Bacteria; Pseudomonadati; Pseudomonadota; Alphaproteobacteria; Hyphomicrobiales; Hyphomicrobiaceae. The record is from RNAcentral.